Molecule: long non-coding RNA, 1066 nt
Filed under: Rhinolophus ferrumequinum (greater horseshoe bat)
Lineage: Eukaryota; Metazoa; Chordata; Mammalia; Chiroptera; Rhinolophidae
Description: lncRNA (ENSRFEG00010007910.1)
Source: RNAcentral
AACCUUGGGCUUCGAAAAGCAGAUUUCCCUUCCAGAAUUGGGGGGUGGUGCUUGCCUAGGACCCAGGGUCAGCCAGGCAGGGACAGGAUUGGGGAGAACUGGAGGAGGAGCGACACGGGGGUCCUGACCAGUACGCGGUCCACGGGCGAAGAGUUACCCCGGGAGCGAGCCCCAGGCCCUCUGCGGAUCGAGGGGCGGCCAAGAGACUGGCCCCGCCCCGCGGACCCCGCGCGGGUCCCCAGACGGGGGGUGGCGCUGCGGGCGCGGGCGGGCGCCGCGCGCACUGCGGUCCCCGCGCCUCCGCCGCAGAGCGCGCCACGCUUCGCACGCACCUGCCGCCGCCGCCGCGCCGAGCCCGCGCCCCGCGUCCCGCGCCCCCGGGAGCCGCCGCGGCCAAGCCAUCGCCCCAGGUCGCCACCGGAGCCCCGGGAGCCGCCGGAGCCGCCGGGCCGAGGCGCGGACGCCGCACCCGGGCCUGCCUUUGAGACAACCUCUGCGGCGGCGGCGCGCGGCUCGGGGACGCCAGGCUGGGGCAGCUCGGGCCUGGUCCAGGCCUCUUCCCCGCUCCCGCCGCCGCCGCCGCCGCCGCCGCCGCCGCCGCGGAGCUCGCGGCCCGGGUCCUCCCGCAGCCAGGGCUCAGGCUAGCUGCCUUCCCUGGGCGCCCUGCCUUGGAACCAUGGGGCCCACCUAGCCCCUGCCUGCCCGGAUGUCCCAGUCCGGGUACUGCUAACCUCGGCUGCAGGGGCAGCCCCCCCAACGCCCCCUCGCCAGCUUCAGCAGUCAGAGAGCCUGGGUGAGCCCCUGGGCCAGACCUCCAGCCCAGGGCAGCCUCCCACACCCCCCUGCUCCGGCCUCCCUCCACCCCCGCCCCUUCCUCCUCCUCCUCGGACUGGACCAGAGAAGCCACUGUGGCCACUGGGAGGGGCCCUGCCCCCCCAGCUCUCGCCGGUCGCCCCCAGGAAUCCUCGGGGUGGCCGGGGUCCCCACCAGGCCUGGCGGGACCAGGAUGCUGCCCCCACUCCUCCCCCCCGGCCCCACCCAACGCCCCCUCCCACCCUAACACCCA